AACGAACGCUGGCGGCGCGCCUAACACAUGCAAGUCGAACGAGAAGGCGUAGCAAUACGCUUGUAGAGUGGCGAACGGGUGAGUAAUACGUGGGUGACCUACCCUCGAGUGGGGAAUAACCCGCCGAAAGGCGGGCUAAUGCCGCGUACGCUUCCGUCCUCACGGGGACGGAAGGAAAGCUGUACCGUGGGUACGGCGCUCAAGGAUGGGCUCACGUCCUAUCAGCUUGU
This 230-nucleotide ribosomal RNA is filed under the name uncultured bacterium. RNAcentral's name for it is "partial 16S ribosomal RNA". It matches the Rfam family "Bacterial small subunit ribosomal RNA", at positions 29 to 249 of the family's 1533-position model. The record is from RNAcentral.